RNAcentral lists this ribosomal RNA (508 nucleotides) under uncultured bacterium. RNAcentral's name for it is "partial 16S ribosomal RNA". It matches the Rfam family "Bacterial small subunit ribosomal RNA", at positions 28 to 523 of the family's 1533-position model. The record is from RNAcentral.
GAUGAACGCUAGCUACAGGCUUAACACAUGCAAGUCGAGGGGAAACGACAUCGAAAGCUUGCUUUUGAUGGGCGUCGACCGGCGCACGGGUGAGUAACGCGUAUCCAACCUGCCCACCACUUGGGGAUAACCUUGCGAAAGUAAGACUAAUACCCAAUGACGUCUCUAGAAGACAUCUGAAAGAGAUUAAAGAUUUAUCGGUGAUGGAUGGGGAUGCGUCUGAUUAGCUUGUUGGCGAGGUAACGGCCCACCAAGGCGACGAUCAGUAGGGGUUCUGAGAGGAAGGUCCCCCACAUUGGAACUGAGACACGGUCCAAACUCCUACGGGAGGCAGCAGUGAGGAAUAUUGGUCAAUGGGCGAGAGCCUGAACCAGCCAAGUAGCGUGCAGGAUGACGGCCCUAUGGGUUGUAAACUGCUUUUAUAAGGGAAUAAAGUGAGUCUCGUGAGACUUUUUGCAUGUACCUUAUGAAUAAGGACCGGCUAAUUCCGUGCCAGCCGCCGCUGUAA